UAGAUACCCUGGUAGUCCACGCUGUAAACGAUGGAUACUAGCUGUUUGGUUUAAGGAUUGAGUGGCUAAGCGAAAGUGAUAAGUAUCCCACCUGGGGAGUACGUUCGCAAGAAUGAAACUCAAAGGAAUUGACGGGGGCCCGCACAAGCGGUGGAGCAUGUGGUUUAAUUCGAUGAUACGCGAGGAACCUUACCAAGGUUUAAAUGGGGACUGACAGGGGUAGAGAUACCUUUUUCUUCGGACAGUUUUC
Molecule: ribosomal RNA, 250 nt
Filed under: uncultured bacterium
Lineage: Bacteria
Description: partial 16S ribosomal RNA
Rfam family: Bacterial small subunit ribosomal RNA
Source: RNAcentral